RNAcentral lists this long non-coding RNA (783 nucleotides) under Phasianus colchicus (ring-necked pheasant). Its description in RNAcentral is "lncRNA (ENSPCLG00000011343.1)". The record is from RNAcentral. Lineage: Eukaryota; Metazoa; Chordata; Aves; Galliformes; Phasianidae.
AUGGUGAAUUGCACAUGGCUGGGAGGAACACUGAGUUUUGCUUCCUUAUGCAUCCCUUCUGAUCCCCUCUUUCUCCAGCAAUAUUUCACUGGUUGCAAUUCUGCAGAGCCUUUGGGUCUGGCUGCCCCCUUGACAUCUGCUGUGUUUGUGAAGAGGGAGCAGGGAACUGGAUCUGAUGUCUCACUUGUGAGUGAAAAGAAAAAUUGUAUUCUGCUCCAAGCCACUGAUCUGUCUGCAGGGUUGUGACUUCGGGGACUACCCUGAGACUGAUUCUCAGCGCAGCCCUCAUGGCCAGCAGAUGGAUCAGUGAAGCACUUCUACUUUGGAGCUCCCCACACAAGAUAUAUUUAUUAAAUUCUGAUUUUCCCUUCUCCCCUUUUUGAUGAAGACAGAAUUCCUAUUGCUAUUCCUAUUGACCAAGAGAAAGACGGCUGGGAAAGUAGCUUAUGAUUUUAGUGGCUUGGGCUUCUGUCCUGACAGAAGGGGCUUCCUAGGUGGUUAAAUGACUGAAAGUGCGUAUUUGAACAAGCACUUGUCCAAGGAUCCCACAACCACAGUAAUGUACACUGUACUUGAGAUGUCUGUAUACCUAAAUAGCUGGUGCAUAAGAAAGUUUAGAAGUUUUCCAGUCCCCUUACCUAAAUGUGACAACUGCAGGAAAGAGAGAGUGAAUGAUUUACAUCUGCUGUAAGGCGUAAGUAAGGAGAAAUGAGUUUGCUCCACUUUGAAUUAGGUAGAGAGCAAUUAAAUAAAGCCACCUUGCAGAAGUGACUGAUCUGCUUG